This 776-nucleotide ribosomal RNA is filed under the name uncultured Neocallimastigales. Its description in RNAcentral is "partial large subunit ribosomal RNA". It matches the Rfam family "Eukaryotic large subunit ribosomal RNA", at positions 23 to 626 of the family's 3401-position model. The record is from RNAcentral. Lineage: Eukaryota; Fungi; Neocallimastigomycota; Neocallimastigomycetes; Neocallimastigales.
AGAGAGAGACAUGCGCGCAUAUCAAUAAGCGGAGGAAAAGAAACUAACAAGGAUUCCCUUAGUAACGGCGAGUGAAGCGGGAAGAGCUCAAAUUUGAAAUCUUCAAGGUUUUACCUUGACGAAUUGUAGUUUAAAGAAGUGUUUUCUGUUGAAGUUUUGGUAAAAGUUCUUUGGAAUAGGACAUCAUAGAGGGUGAGAAUCCCGUAUUUGACCAUUAUUUUCAGCUUUGUGAUACACUUUCAAAGAGUCGGAUUGUUUGGGAAUGCAGUCCAAAAUGGGUGGUAAAUUUCAUCUAAAGCUAAAUAUUGGCGAGAGACCGAUAGCGAACAAGUACCGUGAGGGAAAGAUGAAAAGAACUUUGAAAAGAGAGUUAAACAGUACGUGAAAUUGUCAAAAGGGAAGCGUUUGACACCAGUGUUGUUUUCUCGAAAAUCAAUUAAAAAUGGCUCGAUUUUGCUAUUGCUUGAGACCUUAAAAGCUCACUGUACAUUUUUCGUGUCUUUUUUAAUGCACUUUUCGUUUAACAAGUCAACAUCAGUUUCUUUUGUUGUAAAAGGGUCAUUGGAAGGUGGCUUUCUUUUCGGAGAAAGUGUUUAUAGCCUUUGGCCUCUGCAGUCGGAGAGACUGAGGUCUGCAGCGUAGACUCUUCGGGGUUAGAUACAUUUGUGCUAAGUUAUAGCUUUUUAUAGACAACUUGUUGACUAUAAUUAGUCUUGUAGCUUACUCGCUUAUGCUAUUUUACCUACGCUUAGGAUGUUGAGUCGUAGAGCACGCAG